RNAcentral lists this ribosomal RNA (506 nucleotides) under uncultured bacterium. RNAcentral's name for it is "bacterial SSU rRNA". It matches the Rfam family "Bacterial small subunit ribosomal RNA", at positions 28 to 493 of the family's 1533-position model. The record is from RNAcentral.
GACGAACGCUGGCGGCGUGCCUAAUACAUGCAAGUCGAACGCACUCUCGUUUAGAUUGAAGGAGCUUGCUCCUGAUUGAUAAACAUUUGAGUGAGUGGCGGACGGGUGAGUAACACGUGGGUAACCUGCCCUAAAGUGGGGGAUAACAUUUGGAAACAGAUGCUAAUACCGCAUAAAACCUAACACCGCAUGGUGUAGGGUUGAAAGAUGGUUUCGGCUAUCACUUUAGGAUGGACCCGCGGUGCAUUAGUUAGUUGGUGAGGUAAAGGCUCACCAAGACCGUGAUGCAUAGCCGACCUGAGAGGGUAAUCGGCCACACUGGGACUGAGACACGGCCCAGACUCCUACGGGAGGCAGCAGUAGGGAAUCUUCCACAAUGGACGAAAGUCUGAUGGAGCAACGCCGCGUGAGUGAAGAAGGUUUUCGGAUCGUAAAACUCUGUUGUUGGAGAAGAAUGUAUCUGAUAGUAACUGAUCAGGUAGUGACGGUAUCCAACCAGAAAGCCA